Molecule: long non-coding RNA, 237 nt
Organism: Melanotaenia boesemani (Boeseman's rainbowfish)
Lineage: Eukaryota; Metazoa; Chordata; Actinopteri; Atheriniformes; Melanotaeniidae
Exons: 3
Source: RefSeq, a predicted model, not a curated record
UCCAUGCUGCAGAACUGCCUGACCACCUAACCACUGCAAGUCACUUUGGAUGAAACUGUAAGGUUAAAUAAAGUAGAGGGUACGAGGGUUAGAAUAAAGGUGAGGGUACAAGGGUUAGAAUAAAGGUGAGGGUACGAGGGUUAGAAUAAAGGUGAGGGUACGAGGGUUAGAAUAAAGGUGAGGGUACGAGGGUUAGAAUUAAGGUGAGGGUACGAGGGUUAGAAUAAAGGUGAGGGU